This 459-nucleotide ribosomal RNA is filed under the name uncultured bacterium. Its description in RNAcentral is "partial 16S ribosomal RNA". It matches the Rfam family "Bacterial small subunit ribosomal RNA", at positions 338 to 795 of the family's 1533-position model. The record is from RNAcentral.
CCUACGGGAGGCUGCAGUGAGGAAUAUUGGUCAAUGGUCGGGAGCCUGAACCAGCCAAGCCGCGUGAGGGAUGAAGGUCCAGCGUAUCGUAAACCUCUUUUGUCAGGGAACAAAGUCGGGGACGUGUCCCCGGCUGAGUGUACCUUAAGAAAAAGCAUCGGCUAACUCCGUGCCAGCAGCCGCGGUAAUACGGAGGAUGCGAGCGUUAUCCGGAUUUAUUGGGUUUAAAGGGUGCGCAGGGGGGCUGUUAAGUCAGUGGUAAAAGCCCGGGGCUCAACCCCGGCCCGCCGUUGAAACUGGCAGUCUUGAGUUGGAGAGAAGUAGGCGGAAUGCGCGGUGUAGCGGUGAAAUGCAUAGAUAUCGCGCAGAACUCCGAUUGCGAAGGCAGCAUGCCGGACUGACACUGACGCUGAGGCACGAAAGCGUGGGUAUCGAACAGGAUUAGAUACCCUAGUAGUC